RNAcentral lists this long non-coding RNA (2953 nucleotides) under Lactuca sativa (garden lettuce). Its description in RNAcentral is "long non-coding RNA (LSAT_LNC000090)". Lineage: Eukaryota; Viridiplantae; Streptophyta; Magnoliopsida; Asterales; Asteraceae. The record is from RNAcentral.
GGUUUUGUCAAUUAUCGUGAUUUGGAGCCACUUAUCGAUCCUCCCAUUCUUCCAUGUGAGGACCAGUAUUACAAAUUUACAAAUUUGAUCAAUUUUUAUCUAAUUAGGACACUAAUCUUCAUACGUGUAUUCCUUCUAUCAAGUUAAUGAUCCUUCAAUUUUAGAUUUUAUUAACUAAUUAUUUACUUUUGGUGUUUCACAGGUCGUAUAAUCAGAUUUAUGAUUCCUAUAUCUUCAACUAUGGGUAGGGUUGAGGGACUGGGGUAUAUAGCAUGUGUUUGGUGUGUGUUAAAUUGGGUUAUGACGCUAUCAAAGUAAGGGUGGGUGGGUGGUCGUGUUUUGUGUGUGUUAAUUAAGGUGAGGUUAGUGGUAAGGUCAUAAGGGUCUAUCAUAGCUUUUAACUUCUUUAACUGUGUUUAUGUUCUUACUGGAGGUCAAACAAAACACGAAAAGGUAUUUGUUGUUAUACCCUAAUGAUAUCAGUUUAAUCACUCUUAAUAUCCUACAAAGAAUAUAUUUGUUCACAGUUAACAAUUUAGCUUUGGAAUUCAUUUAUGCAUUUUAGGUUUUGAAACAAUUUGUACAUAACAUUGAACGGAACGAUCAUAGUUAACUAUGGAUCAUGGUGUAUUAAUUAUAUAUACCUUAUGAUGAUAGAAUAUAACAAAAAAGACCAAAUACUUGCCUUAUCCCAUAGGGUGGGUGGAUGGGCGUGUUUUGUGUGUGUUAAUCAAGGUGAGGUCAGUGGUAAGGUCAUAAGGGUCUAUAAUAGCUUUUAACUUCUUUAAUUGUGUUUAUGUUCUUCUUUGUGUUUACUCAGGGUUUUCUUUUCUGACGACUGGGAAUCUAUAAAGUUUUCUUAUUACUGGAGGUCAAACAAAACACGAAAAGGUAUUUGUUGUCAUACCCUAAUGAUAUCAGUUUAAUCACUCUUAAUAUCCUACAAAGAAUAUAUUUGUUCACAGUUAACAAUUUAGCUUUGGAAUUCAUUUAUGCAUUUUAGGUUUUGAAACAAUUCGUACAUAACAUUGAAUGGAAUGAUCAUAGUUAACUAUGGAUUAUGGUGUAUUAAUUAUAUAUGCCUUAUGAUGAUAGAAUAUAACAAAAAAGACCAAAUACUUGCCUCAUCCCAUAUGGACAGUACGAUAAUUAACCACCUCUACAUAUAUAUUAUGAGAUAGUUUAUACGUAAGAUAUGGAAAAAAAAUUAUGAUUUAAUGUGUUUUGCAAAUAUACUCUAUUUAUUCAAGAUGAAGGACAAAAUGGUCAUUUUAGUACAAAAGAUUGGAACCUAUUAAAUCACUAUAUUUGUUUUGUUUCUUCCGCUUUUUCAUUUAGUAGUUUCAUGAUUUUAGCAUUUCUUUUGUUGGUAAAUGAUGCAUUAUUUCUAUUCCCAUUUUUUUAUUUCUUCUGUUGUUGUUGAUUGUAUUACAUAAUUUGCAAUCUCAUAUUACAGGUUUUCGCUUACAAAAGAACUUUUAAUUGAAAGACUAAAUAAUGUUCGAUAAGAUGAAACAAUUUGUCAGAUUGGUUCGAAUCCUUUGAUUUUCUUUUUCUCUUCAUAAUGCUGAAUAUAGAUACACUACACAUGAUUUCAGGGACAUUCAAUAACAUCAACAAUAAGGUAAAUAUUCAUAUUUCUAGAGUAAUCUGUUUUUUUACUACUUUUGGUUGAUUAAAGUUAUGUUUUUUCUUUUCUGUAGCUUUGUGUUACUUGUGCCCAAGGAUAAGUUGGAGAAAGAAAAACACUUCAUGUCACUUGUGUCCAUAGAAAUCACAUUACAGAAAGAUCUCACUCUAAAAAUUUCAAAGGGACAAAAGUACAACGCUAUUUCACGCUAUAAUGUAUGUGAUUGGUGUGCUGGAACAUGUAACAAGCACCAAAAAACACACAUCCUUUGACAUAAUAUAUUAUGGUCAUUUAACACAGUUUACAAAUUUGAAAAUUUUGAAAAACAAAUCCAAUAUUGGGGUGUAACUGUUCUCUAUGUAAGCAUAUGUAAGCCUAUAUGCAAGAAAUAAUAAUGUACUUUCAUUAAUUUGUUUAUUUUAGCAUUCUCUUAAUGAUAUAUUUGGGUUGUUACAACUUUAAGAACGAGGUUCAAACAAUAACACCAUUUUUAACCUAAUGUCGUAUUCAAAGUAUAAAUAAAUAGUUUAUGAAAGAAUAUCUAUAGAGAAUAAACCGAACAAAAAAUAUCUCACAUUUAUCCCUGCAACGCGGGGUCACUCACCUAGUUAUAUAGAAAAAAUGAGUUUGUUGCCUUUUUAAAAGAUCAAAUAAAUUUGUUGACAACUUAACAACAUCUUGAAAAGUUUAUUUUUAAAAUUUAAUAUAUUCUUAAAUUUAUUACAUAAAUAUUAGUUGUAACGUGUUAUGUCACACUAGAUUAGAUUAUAAUAAUAUGGAUUUCCCCACAUAUAUGUCCUCACAGCGUCCAAUGUUUUUUUUAUUAUAAUAAAGAUAAAGAUCUUUUUUUCUUCUUCAUCAUGUGCCUUUGAUAAUAUUUAUUUUUUCAAAACCUAUCUAAUAAUAAAUAUAAGAAAGAAUGUAAUAUGAUGAGUUUGAUCAAUUCAACAUACCCAUUGUAUCUUAUCAAUUAUCAGUAACAUAUUCCAGUAACCGCUAAAGUUACUAUGGUUUUAAUUUUUUAUUGGAUUUUAAAAUCUUUGACCAUUUCAAGAUCGAUAAAUCCAUAUAUUAGGCAAGAUUCUUGGGAUUAUUAUUAUAAUAAAACUACAAAAAACAAAAUUCCAAAACCUAUUCAUUAGUUUUUCUUAAAUGACGUUUGAUUUUUUUAUUCAAUAAGUUAUAAUAUGAGUUUAUUAUUGGGUAUUUGUGUACAUAUAUUAUUUUUGGCAUAUGCACCUAUCUAUAGUUGUUAAGGAUUUAUCUUUCUAUCCAUGUGAAAUAGUGAUAAAUACUACAUUUUUAUAAAGUUAAUAGUAUUUU